CCUACGGGAGGCAGCAGUGAGGAAUAUUGGUCAAUGGACGAGAGUCUGAACCAGCCAAGUAGCGUGAAGGAUGACUGCCCUAUGGGUUGUAAACCUCUUUUAUAUGGGAAUAAAAUGUUCCACGUGUGGGCUUUUGUAUGUACCAUAUGAAUAAGGAUCGGCUAACUCCGUGCCAGCAGCCGCGGUAAUACGGAGGAUCCGAGCGUUAUCCGGAUUUAUUGGGUUUAAAGGGAGCGUAGGUGGAUUGUUAAGUCAGGUGUGAAAGUCUGCGGCUCAACCGUAAGAUGGCAGUUGAAACUGGCAGGCUGGAGUUGAGUAGAGGUGGGCGGAAUUCGUGGUGUAGCGGUGAAAUGCUUAGAUAUCGCGAAGAACUCCGAUUGCGAAGGCAGCUCACUGGACUGCAACUGACGCUGAGGCUCGAAAGUGUGGGUAUCAAACAGGAUUAGAUACCCCUGUAGUC
RNAcentral lists this ribosomal RNA (460 nucleotides) under uncultured bacterium. RNAcentral's name for it is "partial 16S ribosomal RNA". It matches the Rfam family "Bacterial small subunit ribosomal RNA", at positions 338 to 795 of the family's 1533-position model. The record is from RNAcentral.